GUUUCUAUCUAUGAAGCAACUUCCUCUAGUACGAAAGGACCGAGGAAGAAAGGCCCAUGCUUUAAGCACGCCUUACUCCGACCUGAUGAGACCAACUCAAACAGGCAAAGGAAUGCAAUUCCUGCGCCGCAGAUAACAGCAU
This 142-nucleotide ribosomal RNA is filed under the name Fluviphylax pygmaeus. RNAcentral's name for it is "partial 16S ribosomal RNA". Lineage: Eukaryota; Metazoa; Chordata; Actinopteri; Cyprinodontiformes; Fluviphylacidae. The record is from RNAcentral.